Molecule: ribosomal RNA, 3214 nt
Filed under: Citrobacter braakii
Lineage: Bacteria; Pseudomonadati; Pseudomonadota; Gammaproteobacteria; Enterobacterales; Enterobacteriaceae
Description: bacterial LSU rRNA
Rfam family: Bacterial large subunit ribosomal RNA
Source: RNAcentral
GGGUUGUGAGGUUAAGCGACUAAGCGUACACGGUGGAUGCCCUGGCAGUCAGAGGCGAUGAAGGACGUGCUAAUCUGCGAUAAGCGUCGGUAAGGUGAUAUGAACCGUUAUAACCGGCGAUUUCCGAAUGGGGAAACCCAGUGUGAUUCGUCACACUAUCAUUACGUGAAUACAUAGCGUAAUGAAGCGAACCGGGGGAACUGAAACAUCUAAGUACCCCGAGGAAAAGAAAUCAACCGAGAUUCCCCCAGUAGCGGCGAGCGAACGGGGAGCAGCCCAGAGUCUGAAUCAGCAUGUGUGGUAGUGGAACGGUCUGGAAAGUCCGACGGUACAGGGUGAUAGUCCCGUACACAAAAGUGCAUGUGUUGUGAACUCGAAGAGUAGGGCGGGACACGUGGUAUCCUGUCUGAAUAUGGGGGGACCAUCCUCCAAGGCUAAAUACUCCUGACUGACCGAUAGUGAACCAGUACCGUGAGGGAAAGGCGAAAAGAACCCCGGCGAGGGGAGUGAAAAAGAACCUGAAACCGUGUACGUACAAGCAGUGGGAGCCUCUUUAUGGGGUGACUGCGUACCUUUUGUAUAAUGGGUCAGCGACUUAUAUUCUGUAGCAAGGUUAACCGAAUAGGGGAGCCGAAGGGAAACCGAGUCUUAACUGGGCGUUAAGUUGCAGGGUAUAGACCCGAAACCCGGUGAUCUAGCCAUGGGCAGGUUGAAGGUUGGGUAACACUAACUGGAGGACCGAACCGACUAAUGUUGAAAAAUUAGCGGAUGACUUGUGGCUGGGGGUGAAAGGCCAAUCAAACCGGGAGAUAGCUGGUUCUCCCCGAAAGCUAUUUAGGUAGCGCCUCGUGAACUCAUCUUCGGGGGUAGAGCACUGUUUCGGCUAGGGGGUCAUCCCGACUUACCAACCCGAUGCAAACUGCGAAUACCGAAGAAUGUUAUCACGGGAGACACACGGCGGGUGCUAACGUCCGUCGUGAAGAGGGAAACAACCCAGACCGCCAGCUAAGGUCCCAAAGUCAUGGUUAAGUGGGAAACGAUGUGGGAAGGCACAGACAGCCAGGAUGUUGGCUUAGAAGCAGCCAUCAUUUAAAGAAAGCGUAAUAGCUCACUGGUCGAGUCGGCCUGCGCGGAAGAUGUAACGGGGCUAAACCAUGCACCGAAGCUGCGGCAGCGACACUAUGUGUUGUUGGGUAGGGGAGCGUUCUGUAAGCCGUUGAAGGUGKSCUGUGAGGSWUGCUGGAGGUAUCAGAAGUGCGAAUGCUGACAUAAGUAACGAUAAUGCGGGUGAAAAACCCGCACGCCGGAAGACCAAGGGUUCCUGUCCAACGUUAAUCGGGGCAGGGUGAGUCGACCCCUAAGGCGAGGCCGAAAGGCGUAGUCGAUGGGAAACAGGUUAAUAUUCCUGUACUUGGUGUUACUGCGARGGGGGGACGGAGAAGGCUAUGUUAGCCGGGCGACGGUUGUCCCGGUUUAAGCAUGUAGGCGGAGAUUCCAGGUAAAUCCGGAGUCUUGUUAACGCUGAGGUGUGAUGACGAGGCACUACGGUGCUGAAGUAACAAAUGCCCUGCUUCCAGGAAAAGCCUCUAAGCAUCAGGUAACACAAAAUCGUACCCCAAACCGACACAGGUGGUCAGGUAGAGAAUACCAAGGCGCUUGAGAGAACUCGGGUGAAGGAACUAGGCAAAAUGGUGCCGUAACUUCGGGAGAAGGCACGCUGAUAUGUAGGUGAAGUGAUUUACUCAUGGAGCUGAAAUCAGUCGAAGAUACCAGCUGGCUGCAACUGUUUAUUAAAAACACAGCACUGUGCAAACACGAAAGUGGACGUAUACGGUGUGACGCCUGCCCGGUGCCGGAAGGUUAAUUGAUGGGGUUAUCCGUAAGGAGAAGCUCUUGAUCGAAGCCCCGGUAAACGGCGGCCGUAACUAUAACGGUCCUAAGGUAGCGAAAUUCCUUGUCGGGUAAGUUCCGACCUGCACGAAUGGCGUAAUGAUGGCCAGGCUGUCUCCACCCGAGACUCAGUGAAAUUGAACUCGCUGUGAAGAUGCAGUGUACCCGCGGCAAGACGGAAAGACCCCGUGAACCUUUACUAUAGCUUGACACUGAACACUGGUCCUUGAUGUGUAGGAUAGGUGGGAGGCUUUGAAGUGUGGACGCCAGUCUGCAUGGAGCCAACCUUGAAAUACCACCCUUUAAUGGCUGGUGUUCUAACGUAGACCCGUWAYCCGGGUUGCGGACAGUGUCUGGUGGGUAGUUUGACUGGGGCGGUCUCCUCCUAAAGAGUAACGGAGGAGCACGAAGGUUAGCUAAUCCUGGUCGGACAUCAGGAGGUUAGUGCAAAGGCAUAAGCUAGCUUGACUGCGAGAGUGACGGCUCGAGCAGGUGCGAAAGCAGGUCUUAGUGAUCCGGUGGUUCUGAAUGGAAGGGCCAUCGCUCAACGGAUAAAAGGUACUCCGGGGAUAACAGGCUGAUACCGCCCAAGAGUUCAUAUCGACGGCGGUGUUUGGCACCUCGAUGUCGGCUCAUCACAUCCUGGGGCUGAAGUAGGUCCCAAGGGUAUGGCUGUUCGCCAUUUAAAGUGGUACGCGAGCUGGGUUUAGAACGUCGUGAGACAGUUCGGUCCCUAUCUGCCGUGGGCGCUGGAGAAUUGAGGGGGGCUGCUCCUAGUACGAGAGGACCGGAGUGGACGCAUCACUGGUGUUCGGGUUGUCAUGCCAAUGGCAUUGCCCGGUAGCUAAAUGCGGAAGAGAUAAGUGCUGAAAGCAUCUAAGCACGAAACUUGCCCCGAGAUGAGUUCUCCCUGACCCUUUAAGGGUCCUGAAGGAACGUUGAAGACGACGACGUUGAUAGGUCGGGUGUGUAAGCGUAGCGAUACGUUGAGCUAACCGAUACUAAUGAACCGUGAGGCUUAACCUUACAACGCCGAAGNAGAAUUGAGGGGGGCUGCUCCUAGUACGAGAGGACCGGAGUGGACGCAUCACUGGUGUUCGGGUUGUCAUGCCAAUGGCAUUGCCCGGUAGCUAAAUGCGGAAGAGAUAAGUGCUGAAAGCAUCUAAGCACGAAACUUGCCCCGAGAUGAGUUCUCCCUGACCCUUUAAGGGUCCUGAAGGAACGUUGAAGACGACGACGUUGAUAGGUCGGGUGUGUAAGCGUAGCGAUACGUUGAGCUAACCGAUACUAAUGAACCGUGAGGCUUAACCUUACAACGCCGAAG